Molecule: ribosomal RNA, 492 nt
Filed under: uncultured bacterium
Lineage: Bacteria
Description: partial 16S ribosomal RNA
Rfam family: Bacterial small subunit ribosomal RNA
Source: RNAcentral
AGUGGACGCUGGCGGUAGGCCUAACACAUGCAAGUCGAACGGCAGCACAGUAAGAGCUUGCUCUUACGGGUGGCGAGUGGCGGACGGGUGAGGAAUACAUCGGAAUCUACUUUUUCGUGGGGGAUAACGUAGGGAAACUUACGCUAAUACCGCAUACGACCUACGGGUGAAAGCAGGGGAUCUUCGGACCUUGCGCGAUUGAAUGAGCCGAUGUCGGAUUAGCUAGUUGGCGGGGUAAAGGCCCACCAAGGCGACGAUCCGUAGCUGGUCUGAGAGGAUGAUCAGCCACACUGGAACUGAGACACGGUCCAGACUCCUACGGGAGGCAGCAGUGGGGAAUAUUGGACAAUGGGCGCAAGCCUGAUCCAGCCAUACCGCGUGGGUGAAGAAGGCCUUCGGGUUGUAAAGCCCUUUUGCUGGGAAAGAAAAGCAGCAGGUUAAUACCCCGCUGUUCUGACGGUACCCAAAGAAUAAGCACCGGCUAACUUCGUG